CCGAGAAUCUUCGGCAAUGGGGGAAACCCUGACCGAGCGACGCCGCGUGCGAGAUGAAGGCCUUCGGGUUGCAAAUCGCUGUCAGAGGGGAGGAAAUUCCAAGGGGUUCUCUCCUUGGUUUGACCUAUCCUCAGAGGAAGGACGGGCUAAGUUCGUGCCAGCAGCCGCGGUAAGACGAACUGUCCAAACGUUAUUCGGAAUCACUGGGCUUAAAGGGUGCGUAGGCGGCUCUGCAAGUUGGGUGUGAAAGCCCUCGGCUCAACCGAGGAACUGCGCCCAAAACUGUGGGGCUUGAGGGAGACAGAGGUGAGCGGAACUUAGGGUGGAGCGGUGAAAUGCGUUGAGAUCCUAAGGAACACCAGUAGCGAAAGCGGCUCACUGGGUCUCUUCUGACGCUGAGGCACGAAAGCUAGGGGAGCGAAGAG
RNAcentral lists this ribosomal RNA (425 nucleotides) under uncultured bacterium. Its description in RNAcentral is "bacterial SSU rRNA". It matches the Rfam family "Bacterial small subunit ribosomal RNA", at positions 355 to 775 of the family's 1533-position model. The record is from RNAcentral.